GCCAGGCAUAGUGGUGCAUGCCUGUAGUCCCAGCUAUUUGGGAGGUUGAGGCAGGAGGAUUGCUUGUGCCUAGGAGUUUGAGGCUGCAGUGAACGAGGAUCAUGCCACUGCAAUCUAGCCUGAGUGACAGAGCAAGACCCUGCCUCUA
Unclassified non-coding RNA from Macaca fascicularis (crab-eating macaque), 148 nucleotides. It matches the Rfam family "Metazoan signal recognition particle RNA". Rfam says of the family: The signal recognition particle (SRP) is a universally conserved ribonucleoprotein. It is involved in the co-translational targeting of proteins to membranes. NCBI's taxonomy places the organism in Eukaryota, Metazoa, Chordata, Mammalia, Primates, Cercopithecidae. The record is from Ensembl.